RNAcentral lists this long non-coding RNA (228 nucleotides) under Mytilus galloprovincialis (Mediterranean mussel). The record is from RNAcentral. Lineage: Eukaryota; Metazoa; Mollusca; Bivalvia; Mytilida; Mytilidae.
AUCGAGCAUAUAUGGGACACUUUUGUGCGUGAAGUGCACGAAAGGACACCCCAGUUCAAACACGUCAUGAAAUAAACAAUACCUUUCGUCAGGAAUGGUUGCUGCUACCUUAGCAACAAAUUAGUCGACUUAUGGCAGGAAUCAGAAGACGUUAAGAUUCGGUUAUCCGUUUGAAUGGAGGCUGUGCACAAAGUACUAAUUCUUUGGCGUAUAACGAUCAGCCAUGAU